Molecule: small nucleolar RNA, 98 nt
Filed under: Thermochaetoides thermophila DSM 1495
Lineage: Eukaryota; Fungi; Ascomycota; Sordariomycetes; Sordariales; Chaetomiaceae
Description: Chaetomium thermophilum var. thermophilum DSM 1495 A. fumigatus snoRNA Afu_304
Rfam family: A. fumigatus snoRNA Afu_304
Source: Rfam by way of RNAcentral
GUCUAUGAUGAUAAAGGGCCCAAGGCCCGAACUUCAAACCCAGCUCGUCGAAACCUCCUGAAUUGAGGCUUCAUGAGAUAAAAACUUGAGUCUGAGCA